RNAcentral lists this ribosomal RNA (761 nucleotides) under uncultured bacterium. RNAcentral describes it as "bacterial SSU rRNA". It matches the Rfam family "Bacterial small subunit ribosomal RNA", at positions 28 to 776 of the family's 1533-position model. The record is from RNAcentral.
GAUGAACGCUAGCUACAGGCUUAACACAUGCAAGUCGAGGGGAAACGAUAGAGAAAGCUUGCUUUUUCUAGGCGUCGACCGGCGCACGGGUGAGUAACGCGUAUCCAACCUGCCCACCACUUGGGGAUAACCUUGCGAAAGUAAGACUAAUACCCAAUGACGUCUCUAGAAGACAUCUGAAAGGGAUUAAAGAUUUAUCGGUGAUGGAUGGGGAUGCGUCUGAUUAGCUUGUUGGCGGGGUAACGGCCCACCAAGGCAACGAUCAGUAGGGGUUCUGAGAGGAAGGUCCCCCACAUUGGAACUGAGACACGGUCCAAACUCCUACGGGAGGCAGCAGUGAGGAAUAUUGGUCAAUGGGCGAGAGCCUGAACCAGCCAAGUAGCGUGCAGGAUGACGGCCCUAUGGGUUGUAAACUGCUUUUAUAAGGGAAUAAAGUGAGCCUCGUGAGGCUUUUUGCAUGUACCUUAUGAAUAAGGACCGGCUAAUUCCGUGCCAGCAGCCGCGGUAGUACGGAAGGUCCGGGCGUUAUCCGGAUUUAUUGGGUUUAAAGGGAGCGUAGGCGGGCUAUUAAGUCAGCUGUGAAAUCCGGCGGCUCAACCGUCGGCCUGCAGUUGAUACUGGUGGCCUUGAGUGCGCGCAGGGGUGUUGGAAUUCAUGGUGUAGCGGUGAAAUGCUCAGAUAUCAUGAAGAACUCCGAUCGCGAAGGCAGAUGCCCGGAGCGCAACUGACGCUGAGGCUCGAAAGUGCGGGUAUCAAACAGG